This 580-nucleotide ribosomal RNA is filed under the name uncultured rumen bacterium. Its description in RNAcentral is "bacterial SSU rRNA". It matches the Rfam family "Bacterial small subunit ribosomal RNA", at positions 182 to 780 of the family's 1533-position model. The record is from RNAcentral.
UCAUUCACAUGUAUGGCCUGCCAAAGAUUUAUCGGCUAAGGAUGGGCCUGCGUCUGAUUAGAUAGUUGGUGAGGUAACGGCUCACCAAGUCGACGAUCAGUAGCCGACCUGAGAGGGUGAUCGGCCACAUUGGAACUGAGACACGGUCCAAACUCCUACGGGAGGCAGCAGUGGGGAAUAUUGCACAAUGGGCGCAAGCCUGAUGCAGCAACGCCGCGUGAAGGAAGAAGGUCUUCGGAUCGUAAACUUCUGUCCUUGGGGAAGAAGAAGUGACGGUACCCAUGGAGGAAGCCCCGGCUAACUACGUGCCAGCAGCCGCGGUAAUACGUAGGGGGCGAGCGUUAUCCGGAAUUAUUGGGCGUAAAGAGUGCGUAGGUGGCUCUUUAAGCGCAGGGUUUAAGGCUACGGCUUAACUGUAGUUCGCCCUGCGAACUGAAGGGCUUGAGUGCAGGAGGGGAAAGCGGAAUUCCUAGUGUAGCGGUGAAAUGCGUAGAUAUUAGGAGGAACACCAGUGGCGAAGGCGGCUUUCUGGACUGAAACUGACACUGAGGCACGAAAGCGUGGGGAGCAAACAGGAUUA